AUGCAUGUAACCCCAGCUACUCAGGAGGCUGAGACAGGAGAAUCACUUGAACCUAGAAGGCAGAGGUUCAAGAGAUUCUCCUGCCUCAGACUCCCAAGUAGCUGGGAUUACAGGCGCCUGCCACCAUGCCAGGAUAAUUUUUGUAUUUUAGGGAGAGACAGGGUUUCACUAUCUUGACCAGGAUGGUCUCGAACUCCUGACUUCAUGAUCUACCCACCUCAGCCUCCCAAAGUGCUGGGAUUAUAGGCGUGAGCCACCGUACCCGGCCUUUUUUUUUUUUUUUUUAGUGGAGUCUUGCUCUUUUACCCAGGCUGGAGUGCAGUGGUGCGAUUUUGGCUCACUGCAAACUCUGCCUCCCAGGUUCAAGAGGUUCUCCUGCCUCAGCCUCCCGAGUAGCUGGGAUUACAGGCACGUGACACCACACCCAGCUAGGUUUUGUUGUUAUUGUUUUUUUUUUAGGAGAAACAGGGUUUCACCAGGCUGGUCUCAAACUCCUGACCUCAAGUGAUCCACCCACCUCGGCCUCCAAAGUGCUGGUAUUACAGGUGUGAGCCACUAUCCCUGGCCUCAUAAGCCAAUAUUUAACUCUACUCUUGUAAUAGUCCCAGGAUAUAGGUAUCUGCAUUAGGUGAACAGACAAGCAUGACCGACAACAGUCUGGAACCUGUAUAGGUGGUUGAGGAGAUGUCUGGCUUUGCACAUGAUAAAGUCCAAAACUACAUUGCACAAGAUAAUUAUUUUACACAAGAUAAUCUUUGCACAAGGUAAUUAUUUUGCACAAGAUUAUCUUUGCACAUGAUAAUUACUCCAAACUUCAGCUUCUUUGUUUAUAAUACAAGGGCAAUAAUAUCUACCUUUUAAUGUUGCUAUGAUAAUUAAAGGUAAUAAUGACAUAGAAAACAUAAAUACAGAAAGCAGGCAUUUGAAUCCUUAGCUGUGUGGACUCUACCAUUUGCUCAGUCAUUCAACGACAUUUUACUAAGCAUCAGUUAUGCACCAUGCACAACUGGGCUGUGGGUCCCACUUCCCUAUCAAGGGAAGGGAAGCAAAUGCCACUGAAGGGAGCUGGUACCCACUGAACUAAAUUAAAAUCCUCCUUUGCACAUUCAGUCCUGGAAAUCAGGUUAAUUUCUGAAAAUGUUUUCAGUCUCCUUUGUGAGAAGUUAACAAAACCUCUGAGGACAAUUCCAACAGAUAGUAUCUGGUUUAAUUUAUCUUGUUGAACCAGCAAUUGUUAGACACACAUUAUACAGCAGAAAUUCAAGGAUAACUGCUUGGGUUCAGCUUUCAGCUGUGCCACUUAUUAGAUGAGUCAAUCCCUUAACUUUAUCAUACCUCAGCCUCCUUAUCUGUAAAAUGGGAAUGAUAAUGCCUCAGCCAGGCUCGGUGGCUCACGCCUAUAGUCUCAGCACUUUGGGAGGCCAAGGCGGGUGGAUCACGAGGUCAGGAAUUCAAGACCAGCCUGACCAAGAUGGUGAAACCCCAUCUCUACCAAAAAUACAAAAAAAUUAGCUGGGCACAGUGGCAAGCACCUGUAAUCUCAGCUACUCGGGAAGCUGAGGCCAGUGAAUCGUGUGAACUGGGGGUCAGGGGAAGGGGGACGGAGGUUGCAGUGAGCUGAGAUAGGACCACAGCACUCCAGCCUGGGCAACAGAGUGAGACUCCGUCUCAAAACAUAAUAGUAACAAUAAUGCCUCUUCAUAGAGUUGAUGUGAGUUUUAAAUGAAUUAAUAUGUGCUAACGUAGCUGUGACGGCCUGGUACAUGCUCAGUGUUAUACGAAUAUUAGCUAUUGUUAAAAUCUCCAUUAAUCAAUGACAUCUAAGAUUCUCCUAUUUCCGUUACAAACACAGGCCUGGUCCCUU
Long non-coding RNA from Callithrix jacchus (white-tufted-ear marmoset), 1864 nucleotides. Lineage: Eukaryota; Metazoa; Chordata; Mammalia; Primates; Cebidae. The record is from Ensembl.